This 301-nucleotide ribosomal RNA is filed under the name uncultured bacterium. RNAcentral describes it as "partial 16S ribosomal RNA". It matches the Rfam family "Bacterial small subunit ribosomal RNA", at positions 509 to 807 of the family's 1533-position model. The record is from RNAcentral.
CAGUAGCCGCGGUAAUACGUAGGGUGCGAGCGUUAAUCGGAAUUACUGGGCGUAAAGCGUGCGCAGGCGGUUUGUUAAGUCUGCUGUGAAAUCCCCGGGCUCAACCUGGGAAUGGCAGUGGAUACUGGCAAGCUAGAGUGUGUCAGAGGAUGGUGGAAUUCCCGGUGUAGCGGUGAAAUGCGUAGAGAUCGGGAGGAACAUCAGUGGCGAAGGCGGCCAUCUGGGACAACACUGACGCUGAGGCACGAAAGCGUGGGGAGCAAACAGGAUUAGAUACCCCAGUAGUCCCUGUCUCUUAUAC